GACGAACGCUGGCGGCGUGCUUAACACAUGCAAGUCGAACGAUGAAGCUGGAGCUUGCUCUGGCGGAUUAGUGGCGAACGGGUGAGUAACACGUGAGAAAUCUGCCCUUGACUCUGGGAUAACUGCGGGAAACUGUAGCUAAUACCGGAUACUUUCCCUGGUGGGCAUCCACUGGGGAAGAAAGAAUUUCGGUCAAGGAUGAUCUCGCGGCCUAUCAGCUUGUUGGUGAGGUAAUGGCUCACCAAGGCGACGACGGGUAGCCGGCCUGAGAGGGUGCCCGGCCACACUGGGACAGCGCCACGGCCCAGACUCCUACGGGAGGCAGAAGUGGGGAAUAUUGCACCAUGGGCGCAAGCCUGAUUGAGCAACGCCGCGUGAGGGAUGAAGGCCUUCGGGUUGUAAACCUCUUUUAGCAGGGAAGAAGCGAAAGUGACGGUACCUGCAGAAAAAGCACCGGCUAACUACGUGCCAGCAGCCGCCGUAA
RNAcentral lists this ribosomal RNA (484 nucleotides) under uncultured bacterium. RNAcentral describes it as "partial 16S ribosomal RNA". It matches the Rfam family "Bacterial small subunit ribosomal RNA", at positions 28 to 523 of the family's 1533-position model. The record is from RNAcentral.